UGAAUAUGGGGGGACCAUCCUCCAAGGCUAAAUACUCCUGACUGACCGAUAGUGAACCAGUACCGUGAGGGAAAGGCGAAAAGAACCCCUGUGAGGGGAGUGAAAUAGAACCUGAAACCGUGUACGUACAAGCAGUAGGAGCACCUUCGUGGUGUGACUGCGUACCUUUUGUAUAAUGGGUCAGCGACUUAUAUUCAGUGGCAAGGUUAACCGUAUAGGGGAGCCGUAGCGAAAGCGAGUCUUAACUGGGCGCUCAGUCUCUGGAUAUAGACCCGAAACCGGGUGAUCUAGCCAUGGGCAGGUUGAAGGUUGAGUAACAUCAACUGGAGGACCGAACCGACUAAUGUUGAAAAAUUAGCGGAUGACUUGUGGCUAGGGGUGAAAGGCCAAUCAAACUCGGAGAUAGCUGGUUCUCCCCGAAAGCUAUUUAGGUAGCGCCUCGGACGAAUACUACUGGGGGUAGAGCACUGUUAAGGCUAGGGGGUCAUCCCGACUUACCAACCCUUUGCAAACUCCGAAUACCAGUAAGUACUAUCCGGG
Molecule: ribosomal RNA, 540 nt
Filed under: Vibrio cholerae
Lineage: Bacteria; Pseudomonadati; Pseudomonadota; Gammaproteobacteria; Vibrionales; Vibrionaceae
Description: partial 23S ribosomal RNA
Rfam family: Bacterial large subunit ribosomal RNA
Source: RNAcentral